RNAcentral lists this ribosomal RNA (253 nucleotides) under uncultured bacterium. RNAcentral describes it as "partial 16S ribosomal RNA". It matches the Rfam family "Bacterial small subunit ribosomal RNA", at positions 524 to 776 of the family's 1533-position model. The record is from RNAcentral.
UACGGAGGGGGCUAGCGUUGUUCGGAAUCAUUGGGCGUAAAGGGCGCGUAGGCGGCCGAUCAAGUCGGAGGUGAAAUCCCUCGGCUCAACUGAGGAAUUGCCUUCGAUACUGUUCGGCUUGAGUCCUGGAGAGGGUAGCGGAAUUCCCGGUGUAGCGGUGAAAUGCGUAGAGACCGGGAAGAACACCAGUGGCGAAGGCGGCUACCUGGACAGGUACUGACGCUGAAGCGCGAAAGCUAGGGGAGCAAACGGG